CACGGCCACUCGCACGAGGAGC
This 22-nucleotide microRNA is filed under the name Columba livia (rock pigeon). Its description in RNAcentral is "cli-miR-9629-5p". Lineage: Eukaryota; Metazoa; Chordata; Aves; Columbiformes; Columbidae. The record is from miRBase by way of RNAcentral.